UACGAAGGGGGCUAGCGUUGCUCGGAAUUACUGGGCGUAAAGGGCGCGUAGGCGGAUAUCUAAGUUGGGGGUGAAAUCCCGGGGCUCAACCUCGGAAUUGCCUUCAAAACUGGAUAUCUUGAGUUCGGGAGAGGUGAGUGGAACUCCGAGUGUAGAGGUGAAAUGCGUAGAGAUCCGGAGGAACACCAGAGGCGAAGGCGGCAACCUGGCACGUUACUGACGCUCAUACACGACAGCAUGGGGAGCGAACGGG
Molecule: ribosomal RNA, 253 nt
Filed under: uncultured bacterium
Lineage: Bacteria
Description: partial 16S ribosomal RNA
Rfam family: Bacterial small subunit ribosomal RNA
Source: RNAcentral